GAUGAACGCUGGCGGCGUGCCUAAUACAUGCAAGUCGAGCGAACGGACGAGAAGCUUGCUUCUCUGAUGUUAGCGGCGGACGGGUGAGUAACACGUGGAUAACCUACCUAUAAGACUGGGAUAACUUCGGGAAACCGGAGCUAAUACCGGAUGAUAUUUUGAACCGCAUGGUUCAAAAGUGAAAGACGGUCUUGCUGUCACUUAUAGAUGGAUCCGCGCUGCAUUAGCUAGUUGGUAAGGUAACGGCUUACCAAGGCAACGAUGCAUAGCCGACCUGAGAGGGGGAUCGGCCACACUGGAACUGAGACACGGUCCAGACUCCUACGGGAGGCAGCAGUAGGGAAGCUUCCGCAAUGAGCGAAAGCCUGACGGAGCAACGCCGCGUGAGUGAUGAAGGUCUUCGGAUCGUAAAACUCUGUUAUUAGGGAAGAACAUAUGUGCAAGUAACUGUGCACAUCUUGACGGUACCUAAUCAGAAAGCCACGGCUAACUACGUG
This 497-nucleotide ribosomal RNA is filed under the name uncultured bacterium. RNAcentral's name for it is "partial 16S ribosomal RNA". It matches the Rfam family "Bacterial small subunit ribosomal RNA", at positions 28 to 507 of the family's 1533-position model. The record is from RNAcentral.